CACCAGUCAGAGAGAAUGAUUUGGUGCCAGGCGAUGUAGUAAUCCUGCAGCACAGGACUGGAGACCAGACACACCAGAGUGACCUCAGCUCUUUUGUUGAUGUCCUCCUCUGGGAGGACGUGGACUGUCACUAUUGGCUCACGCCCAUCUGAAAGAAACACCAGCGAGUCAGAUAAGUAGAGGUGGAAGACAUCUGAGUUUUGCAUUGACUCCUCCUCACAGGGAGGAGAGACAUGGACUGGAGAUAUUUGCUUAAACUGGGGAAUUCAUUUCCAAGAAUCAAGCCUCCAAGU
This is a long non-coding RNA of Siniperca chuatsi (mandarin fish), 293 nucleotides long. RefSeq lists it as uncharacterized. The record is from RefSeq and is a predicted model, not a curated record. The transcript is spliced from 3 exons. NCBI's taxonomy places the organism in Eukaryota, Metazoa, Chordata, Actinopteri, Centrarchiformes, Sinipercidae.